GAAAUGCGAUAAGUAGUGUGAAUUGCAGAAUUUAGCGAAUCAUCGAAUCUUUGAACGCACAUUGCGCCCCUUGGUAUUCCAUGGGGCAUGCCUGUUCGAGCGUCAUUUCAACCCUCAAGCACUGCUUGGUGUUGGGCGUUUGUCCCGCUUACGCGCGUGGACUCGCCUCAAAGUCAUUGGCGGCUGUUCCCCUUCGGCUCGUAAGCGCAGCACAGUCGGCGCCCGGAGCUCUGGUGGGAUGGCGUCCAGCAAGCUAUAUUUUCAGGCUUGACCUCGGAUCAGGUAGGGAUACCCGCUGAACUUAAGC
RNAcentral lists this unclassified non-coding RNA (307 nucleotides) under plant metagenome. RNAcentral describes it as "partial contains 5.8S ribosomal RNA, internal transcribed spacer 2, and large subunit ribosomal RNA". The stretch from base 1 to 105 matches the Rfam family "5.8S ribosomal RNA", at positions 50 to 154 of the family's 154-position model. The record is from RNAcentral.